AAAUAUAGCUACCAUACUGAAACUGGGCCAAGUAGAAAGCAUCAUUUCUGUUUCAUGUAACAAAUAUGCUAGGGAAACAGGCUCUUCUUCUAACAUUCACAAUAGUUCUGAAAAGAAACAUCGGACAUUUAUUUGAAGCCAAGACAAAGAGAUUUUCAGAUACCUAUAAAUGAAGUCAGUAAGCUGAAAGUAUCAGUAAGCUGAAACAUAUGAAGAUGAAAUCAAGAGUCAUGAAUUGAACAAACACACUGGAAAGCUUCAUUAACUGUUUUUC
This 274-nucleotide long non-coding RNA is filed under the name Homo sapiens (human). Its description in RNAcentral is "HSALNT0112657". The record is from RNAcentral. Lineage: Eukaryota; Metazoa; Chordata; Mammalia; Primates; Hominidae.